RNAcentral lists this non-coding RNA (22 nucleotides) under Mus musculus (house mouse). The record is from RNAcentral. Lineage: Eukaryota; Metazoa; Chordata; Mammalia; Rodentia; Muridae.
UUGCAUUAUCUGUGGUCACCAG